GUGAUCAAAGCUGAGAAGCAAGACAAAGUGACAGGAACUAACAUCUAUUGAGCAUCUAGUGAGUGCUAAGUAUUGGGCUACGGGCUUUAGUGCAUGUGGUCUCAUUUGUCACUGAGAAAUGACAACUGACCAGUGACAGAAUCCUCACCAGAAAAGGUCUCAGGUAAUGUGGUUUCAGAAGAAACCAGUAUGGGUUAGGGUGCUUACACUGGCAAUUCAUAGAAAAUGUAAAAACUUUCCUAAGUGAUAAGGACACUUGUUGGCUCAGGAGAGGAGAGGCCAGUGGCUUAUUGAUGCUUGUAAGCCCCCAGGUUACCUCUAUCUCUGCCUAUGAGGGUUCACUCGCUCCUGGGGCUUGCUGUCUUUGUGAGCAUAGAAUGGUUGCCAACACAUUAAUGCUAGUGCUCCCUUAUCUGUGUCCAGAGAGUGCGAGUGAGUGAGAGAGAGCGGGUUUCUAGUACUUCUUCCGGAAAAGCAAUGUACCUCCUUCCUAGAAGCCUCUUAGCCAUCCCAUCUUGUUGCCUAGAACUGGGUGACACGGCCAAUCUUCAACUCUAAUAAGGAGGAUGGAAUUACCUUUACAGGUUUAGACUACCAAGGGGGUACUCUGGGAGUUAAGAGUGGGGUCAGUGGGCAACUUGGAAGCAAGGUGUAUUCAAAUGGAAAUCUUGCUUUUGGUAAGAAGGAGCAAGCCCUGAGCUAUACAGAAGUGAAAUCAGGUUCUAUGCAAUGAUAUUUAGAAAGAAAUUCAUCAAAAAGAUGUAAACAAUUUCUGCUUUUACAGGGGAAAACAACAAUUACCUGGGUUGUUCACUCAAAUUUCACUCCUAAGCUCCAGAUAUAUUUGGUAACCUUAUGCAUUUUAAAUACAACAAAUCCAAGAUGGCAGCCGUCACUGCUUUGUUCUACCUCAUCAAAUGUGCUCUUCCUACUGGGUUCUCCGGUUUGUUCAAUGACACCACCCAAGCAUAGACACCCAAGCAACAAAUUAAAACCCUUUCUGCCAAACUCUUAUACCUGGAUAUGCCAGGGUGUCUCUGAAGUUAUUUGUCAUAAAGGGACAAAGCCUAGUUGGCAAAGCCAAUGUUGAUAUCAACAUAUUUGGAAUCACCUUCAAGCAUGUUUCAACGUGUCUAUGACUACCUGUCUUUUAUGUAGAUUUUAUUUUAUUUGGGCCAACUGCAGCAUCUAGAACACAUGACCUCAAGUAAGCAAGUUUAGUCCUUGCAUUUUUCUUCUGGGGCUAACCUGUGCCUGUGAGAGAGACAGCUAAAGUUAAAGGCACAUGCCUGGCUGCAUGCUGAAAGGAGCAAGAGUUUCACCUGGUGGUAGCAAGAUCGCUCUGGGGGCAGGUGGUGGUGAGUGUUGGCCGAACUUCAGAAAUUUUCUGUAGUUGUAACUGAUUUUGCCUGGUUGUGCUGUGAGUGCCACACAGUGUUGUGCACAUCUCUGGAUGUAAAUGUGGAAUUUUAAAACUUUGCUAUCUGGCUUUAGUCAACCUAAAACAUGGACUUUUUUAGCCAGGCGCUACCCCGGCUCACCAGACAGGUUUGCCACAGGGAAAAAAAAAAUGAAGUGUAAGUUUGGCUUCAAUUUACUUACAGACCAUAACAUAGACCCUCAGAAUAUGCUUUUGGUUUUUCUUGGUUGCUGUUUAUUGCUGUAUUAAUUCCCUAGGGCUGCCAUAACAAAUUACUAAAAACUGAUGGCUUAAACAACAGAAAUUUAUUGUGCCACAGUUCUGGAGGCUGGAAGUCUGAAAUCACGCUCCCUCCAAAGGUUCUGAGGGAGGAUCCUUUCAUCAUUUUCCAGCUUCUGGUGGCUCCCGUGUUCCUGAGACUAUUCUGUUUUCAGCCUCCAUCUUCACAUAACCUUCUCUGUUUCUCCUUCUUCUGUCUCUCAUAAAGACACUUAUGGACACUGGAUUUAGGGCCCACCUCAAUAAUCCAGGGUAAUCUCAUCUCAUCUCUUAAUUACGUCUGUAAAGACCAUUUACCCAAAUAAGGUCACAUAUACAGAUUCCAGGAUGUGGACCUAUAUUUUUGGGGCCAUGAUGAAACUCACUAGAGUUGCCAUGCUUCUCCUGAGAUCAUGAAUAUUGAGACAUUCAGCACGGUUCGUGGCUUCCAAAUCCAAGGAUCGGUGCCACCGCUCAGAAGAGCUGCUUCAAGGAAGGUGAGUCUCAAACAUCCAAAAUGGCAGGCUGUAUCCCUCAUAAUCGUCUUGUUUCCUUGUUGUUUUAGUUAUCACCUGGAGAGCUGUACAUGCACAAGAAAUAACUUUUGGGAGAUCCCAAAUAAUGCAUUUGUAGUCCAAACGUUGCCAGCAGACACCAGAAGCUAGAAGAAACAAAGAAAGGGUUCUCUUCUACAGAUUUCUGAGGGAGCAAGUGCCUGACACCUUGAUGUCAGAACUCAAGCCUCCAAAAGUACUCCAAGAUGAUGAUUAAGGUGGGCCCUAAUCCAAUCUGACUGGUGUCCUCGUAAGAAGAGAAGAUGAGGACACAGACAAACACAGAGGGAAGACUGUGUGAGGGCACAGGGAGAAAAUGACUCUCUACAACAAGGAGAGAGGCUUCAGAAUAAACCAAUUCUGCUGACACCUCUCAAACUUCUAGCCUCCAGAAGAGUGAGGAAAUCCAUUUCUGUUGUAUAAGCCACCCAGUUUGUGGUGUUUAUUAUGGCGGCCCUAGCAAGGGAAUACAGAGGGAGACAGGUUCAGACAUGUAAAGCGAGCCUUUAAAAGACACCACGUGCACCAGUGGAGCCCCAGGCCCAGGCCCCACAGACCUUGCCUCCUGGUCCAGUCCUUACUUUAUCUCAGGAUGUGACAUUGCGUUUCUUAUGGAAAAGAUCUCACUAACCUACUUCAUUUAGGAAUGCAAUUUAAUUGGCAACUCAACGGUGAUGUCGCUUCUUUUGCCAUUUUUCUGCAACACCAAAGGAAAAAAUUUUAAGCCAGCUUUUUUUAGCUGCAAAGAUGACAAAUGUUAUCAACAAUAUCCAACCAGAGUAUAUUUUCAUCCCUUUUCAUCCCGUCACGAUAAGCCAGAAGUAUUUGUUGCCAGAAAUGGAAAACAGCUUGUUCAUCAGCCAGAUGAUCGCAGUGCUCAGAAGUUCCACUCGUUUGCCAUGUGUGAAAAGUUAAGAAUUGAAAACAGACAGGCUUGCUCUGCUUAAACCGUGAGUUCUGUGAAGCAAGAGAAAGAGAAAUUUGGAUACUAGGAGAAGAGUUGUGAGAUGGUUUCGACGGCAAAGUGAACAGGGCCUUUUCACAUUAUUCUGAGAUGGGACCUCUGGGUUGAUUUGAUAGUGGAUAUGACUGUUCUCUAAUUGGCUAGAAGAUGAGUCUAAAGUUACCAACCACCGGAGGAUACUUUUGUGUUCUAGAACAAAUUCCAAUGUCCUACACAAAUGUGAUGCUGGGGACUUCUCUGUUACCUGACACCAAAUUUCCUAGACAUUUCCAUUAUACUUCCUCUUCCUGAUUAUCUUGAGUGGGAAAUCUCCAUGAGUUCUUAGUAGAAGGCAGAAGUAUACAGUGGACCUGGGCCUUCAUUAGAAACCAUGAGACUUCAAAUGAGAGCCUGAAUUAUUCCUUUAUGUUUUCAUUUAUGUGAGAAAAUAAGGGAUAUUGUUGACUUUUUAUGAGAUUAAGUUACCCAGUUAUCCAUCCUAUUAUUAUAAGUUUUAGUGUUUGCAAAGAGAUUUCUGAUCGUUUUUAUUAGUCUCUUUGUAAUAGCUUCAGGGACUUUUUGACAAAAGAGAGAACCAUUUUAAGCAGUAGAAAUGUAGGCUUACAGAGGUCAAAUGGUUAAUUUGAGAUUGCCCAGCAAAACAAAACAAUACGAAAAAGAACACCUGAAGAAAAAUCAAGAUUCAUACUCUGGGCUGUAAUUACCAUUCUGUAGGUUUCCGGAAGCUCAUAUAGUCACAUUACAUUUUGUUCAUGUCGUUAGAAAUCAUUUGCAGUUCAACACUUAGAUUCCCUCCUGUGUUUGAUUUGCAAGGUCUUGGAAGUUAACUUGAACUCAAGGAUUUGUCUACCUAAGAGAGGCAAAUAGAAAAACCCCUAAAGCCACCUGACCUGAUUCUUCUUUGUUAAGACCAGCUCAGAAUAGAGUGAAAUAAGCAAGCUGCAGAAAGACAAUGCUACGUUGAGUUCCACUUCCUCUUGAUAAAUUCAGAACAGCCAGUCCAUCUUAAGGGUGGAUGUUUUUAGCAGCAGGGAGUGGUAGUUGGAUGGAGGCAAGCGGAUGGAAAGGAGGAGAGAGGAGAAGAGAGACAAACUCAGGUGCCCCAGAAAAGUCCACUUUCUCCGUCCCCAUUCAGGCCACCUUCAUCUUCCCCCACCCUCUGCUGGCCUUUCUGGGGGCUCAGGUUUUGAGCUGACUGAGCCCUCAGCGGGAGACCACAACGCAUUUUCAGAUGAAAGGACAACCCUGAAGGUACCUAUUACAUGUCUGUGAGCAGAGAAACAAAGGCCCGGCUGCUGACACCCUCCCACUAACUUGAGUUUUAAUGGUAGGUUUGAUUUCCUCACGCUUAGCUGAAAGAAAGGGAAAAAACUAAGCGGAAAGAACGAGGGUGUGGGUAUCUGUGGUGGUGGGGAAACGACAGCUGUUGUAUUCAUGGUUAAUCAGGUGUGUCUGGCUUUGUGUCGCAUCUGUCUGCUACUGUUGCCAGGCCACAUGUGAAAGGGAACCGAGGGGAAGGGGCCAUUCAUGUUCAAAGCCAGUAGCACUGACCUCUGCCUCGUUCUCUUCAGGGUAGGAAAGCUUGUCUAUUUAACUUUCCCUAUUAUAGGAAGCUGUAAUUCUACUCUAUUAGCCCACCCUAACCAUUUUGGCCUGACAAAUGCAAGCUGCAUCCAGAAUGCCAUAAAUCUGCAUGGGAAGGAGUCCUCCUCCCUCCUUCCCAUUUUUUUCCUUUGGGGUUCGGUUCGAUUUGUCAAACAAGAGAAAACCAGCAAGAGAGAGAAAAAUGAGAACUCAGGGCAUCUUGGUUCACCUUCCAUCUUAAAUGGGCCUAGGGACCGAGAUGGGGGCUGGGAGGCACCCCAAGGUCAAGCCUGGAGCACUGGUUCCCCCUCCAGAUCUGUUUAUCUCACGAGUCCCACAUGCGUGUGGUGAUUGCGUCAGACCUUAGUCAUCUCCCUGGCACCAAAUCCUCCUCCUGGAUCCUUGAUCCCCCUCCUCCUUCUCUGCCCACAUACAGAGGGACCAUGAUGGAGGAGGGGAGGCUUCUGGCUUCUCCUGGAGCCAGGCCUGUGUUCUAGAUAUUGCUGGCCCAGGCCUGCCAGGCACGACUCUCCUCUCUGGCAUAUGGAGAAACAGCUGAAAUGGAAACAACCCCCAAUGCACCACAUUGCACUAAAGCUUAGCGUCAGAGUUCAAAGGACUACUCCAAUUGGAGAUCAAACUGAUCCCUCCCACUGUGGCCUUUUUUGAGGGGGUCCAUCACAACCCUUCGGGGGUGCUUUUCUCCAGCACUUCCGCUUCAGGGCCAGCCCUUGUGUUUCUUGGAGUAAAUGAUUGCUGUCAGCAUUUCCAACACCAUGGAGUUCUGGCUCCAACUUUGGCUUCCUGGAGAAUGGGCCAUCAUAGACUUAUUACAGGGUUCAGAAGAGCUUGCCAUCUGCAAUCUAUUUUAGUUGUCACUGCCUCUUAAAAUAGGCACUAACUUUUAUCCCAUCACAUUAAUUCCUCUCAUGUUGAGGCUAGAGUCGAGCUUUUGGGGUGUGUGUAUGCACGUAACUAUCUUUUUAAAAUCAGAAGGGUUAUUUUCCUAAGACAUGGGUUAUCAGCAGCACAGCUGAGUUUCCUCUUUCUACUGGCCUGUGCUGAUGAAGUUGGUUGCGUUAUUGACCUGCAGCUUUGGGGUCAGAAUGCUUUUGGUUCCCUGAUGUAGAAGGACAUUGCAAAACUAUCCCAGUGCCCUGUGCACUGUCUUUCUCUCUCUGAUACUCCCCAGAUCUCCAAAUUUUAAUGGUGUCAAUAGACAUAACUCAUGCUCCUGCUAGAAGCCUAGCACCCUGCUAGGCUCUGUGAGGACUUUGAGAAUUUGUCAUCUUGUGAGACGCCAUGAAUAAUGCAAGAAAUAGCAAAACAGGUCUGAAAAUGAAGUCUAACUAAAAAGUGUACAAAUCCUAAGUGUACAGCUCUAUGAAUUAUUACUAAGUGAAUAUGCUCACGUAACCAUCACCUAGAUUAAGAAACAGAACAUUACCGCCACUGGAAACUUCUUAAAGUUCUACCUAGGUGGACACCUUGUUAUAUCUAAAACAAUUCUACAACGUGAUUGGGAGUGAGAUUUAGUUCUUAAUUAUGUGGCUAUGGAAAUGUAGAUUUUGAAAGGUUCCCAUUGGCUGGAAGAGAUUUGCCCAUGGGAAGAUUUUGAGUAUGCCCUGGGCUGGCCUGCUGAAGUUGAACUUUAGAGAACCCGGGCGGGCUGGCUGUGCAAUGCUCUUGGCUCCAGAGAAGGACAUGCAAGAUUCUGGCAUCCUUUUUAAAAAAAUUGUGGUAAAAUAUACAUAACAUAAAAUUAAUCAUUGUAAUCAUUUUUAAGUGUGCAGCUCAGCAGUGUUAAGUACAGAUUGUUGCGCAAUGAUCACCACCAUCCAUCCCCAGAGCUCUUUCAUCUUGAAAAACGGAAACUCAAUACCCAUUAAACAGCAACUCCCUAUUUCCCUCCACCCCCAUACCCGGUAACUACCAUUCUACUUUCUGUCUUUCUGAAUUUGACUACUGUAGGUACCUCACAGAAGUAGAAUCAUGCCAUAUUUGUCUUUUUGAGACCGUUUUAUUUCACUGAGCGUAAUGUCCUCAAGGUUCAUCCAUGUCAUGGCAUGUGUCAGAAUUCCCUUCCUUUUUAAGGCUGAAUAAUAUUCCACUGUACAUGUGUACCACAUUUAGUUUACUCAUUCAUCCAUCCAGGGACUCUUGGGUCACUGCCACCUUUUGGCUCCUGCAAAUAAUGCUGCUUUGAACAUGGGUGUACAAAUUACCCUUAUGCACCUUUCCAUUCUUUUGGGUGUAUACCUAAAAGUGGGAUUGCUGGAUCAUAUGGUAAUUGUAUCUUUAGUUUUGGAGGAAUUACUAUAUCAUUUGCUGUAGCAGCUCACUAUUCUGGAAUCCUUUUCACCUGGACCAUUUCCUCCUGACCAGCCUCCUGGAUGGCAUUAGAGGGAGCCUGACACGUGGAUUGAGGUGGUGGCAAUAGUGAGGAUGGUGGUCUGUACUCUGUAUGUGCCCGUUGUUGGGAAUCUAGAGCAAAUGGGGCAGGAUGGAGUGUGACACCACAAUCCAUGGUGGAAACUUGAGAGUUCACUGAAUAGAGGGGGAGGAAUUUAUUUAUUUACUUAUUUUUAUUUUUGAGACAGGGUCUUGCUCUGUCACUUAGGCUGGCAUGCAGUGGUGCAACAUAGCUCACUGCAGCCUUGAACUCCUGGGCUCAAGAGAUGUUUCCACCUCAGUCUCCUGAGCAACUGAGACGACAGGCCCACAUCACCACACCUAGCUAUUUAAAAAAAUUAUUUUUAUUUUGUAGAGAUGGGGUCUCAUUAUGUUGCCCAAGCUGCUCUUGGUCUCAAACUCUUGAGCUCAAGUGAUGCUCCCACCUUCAGCCUCCCAAAGUGCUAGAUUUACAGACGUGAGCCACUGUGCCCAGUCUGUGGGAAUAGUUCAUUUUGCACAAAGAUAAAUGCUUUUCCCCCUAAUUUGUGGGAGACUGAGGUUAAAGGAGUCCUUAAUAACCAGGUAUUCAGAGGCCUUCUGCCUGUUCAGUGUAUCACCUCCAGAUUUUUGGGGGGCCUUUAGGCGUAAGUGUUGAGAUAUUUAUAGAACAGAUUAUGAGCUUUUAAAUAGAUUACCUAAAAAAAAAGAAGAAGAGAGAGAGUGAGGGAAAUGGUAGCCAGUAAACCAACUGAGGAAGGCACACACCUUUUGCCUGAUAGGGAUGUCGAGGAGAGGGAUGCCACUUGAAUACGAAGGUCGUUCUUGGGCUCACGGGUGCAGUCGUUUGGGUUUAGUGCUGGCUGCUGAUGCCAGAAGCACUCAGUAUUGAACAUUCAGGGGCUUCUUCAAACAAUUUUAAGUAUUUCUGUUUUCUAAAUCUUGAUGCUUUAUUGCUAGGGAUAAGCUCACAUUAAUAUCCACUGGAAGGAAGAACUAUGAGGAUCACCAGGGUGAGGACCUUUAGAACUGAAGAAGGACACAUUAUUAUUGCUAAAAGAAUAUCUGCUUCUUCCCAGUUCCUUCCCUUUGGCCUUCUCCCAUUUCAUUAUAGGAAAAAAAAGCUCCAUGAAAUUACAUAUUGUUUUCUUAAAUUUAAAAGAUACGUAUGGCUGCCACCUAAAGUCUGUCAAGGAAAAAAAAUGUCCUACCCCAAAUGGUAACCAUUAUUUAACAGUUGUUUUAUUUUCUUCCAAAACGCUCUGUAUAUAUUCACUGUGCUUUUGAGGCAGCACAGUUUAGUUCUAAUUACUUACAACCCAAACACCACCAAUUAUAAAAAUAUACAGAUACUACCCGUAUGCAACUCUUUACCAUUAUAAACUACUUUCACAUAUAAUUGAACCUUAUCAAAAUUGAAAUUAGUAGUAGUCUUUUUUUUUUUUUUUUUGAGAGGGAGUCUGGCACUGUUGCCCAGGCUGGAGUGCAGUGGUGUGAUCUUGGCUCUUGGCUCACUUCAACCUCUGCCUUCCGGGUUCAAGCGAUUCUCCUGCCUCAGCCUCCUGAGUAGCUGGGAUUACAGGCAUGCGCCACCAUGUCUGGCUAAUUUUUGUAUUUUUAGUAGAGACUGAGUUUUGUCAUGUUGGCCAGGCUGGUCUCAAACUCCCAACCUCAGAUGAUCUACCUGCCUUGGCCUCUGAAGUGCUGGGACUACAGGUGUAAGCCACCAAGCUUGGCUGAAAUUGGUAUUAUUCUUAUUUAAUAGAAAGGAGAGGCAGGGGAGAUUAAGACACUUGUUCAAAUUUACACCACAUGUUAGAAAAUGGAGUUGGGACAAGAAUCCAAGUCAUUGAAGUAAACUGUAGGUCCACAAGCCUUUCUCCUCCACCAUAGAAUCUGGAGUGAACAUUGGAGGCCAAAGUGCCUUACAGAAAUACUUAAAGGAGCUACCAAGUCACUGGCUUCAUAAAGCUGACUAAUCUUCAUGUGUCCAUGGUGUCAGUUUAUGAAACCCUUUAUCUUAUACGAGGAGGCACACUGGACUCACUAAGAAUUGCAAUGAGAAUUGAGUUUAUUGGAAUAGGUAUAACCUCAAUAGAAUCAUAGAGAAGACAACUGAGAACCUGGAAAACAUUUUUAGUAUUCAUGAGUGUGUUGGCACCAGCUUAUUUAUAAAGUUGUUUUGACAACGUGUGUGCCUUAAACUUCUAUUUAUAAGAAGUAAAAUGGAAUCAUCUUCUUACCCUGCUGAGUUGCAAAUUCUGUUUUAGGGCAAAUUUUUAAUCUGCCUCUUUAAUAUAGAGCAAUAGAUAUAUUUUUUUUCCUGCUGAGUUUAUUUUUUCAAGUACAUAAGUUAAUUAAGAACCAUUUACCUGAAGAUAUGUUUUCUUCCUUAUGAAGUACAUAAUGAGAACAUGGCCACAGAUGUUAGGUAGUGACAGAAAUGCCUGUCUGGAAGGUGAAUUCUUUAAAUUUUUUUUAUCUCACAAUAGCUGUAUAGAGAAUUGUUGAUGGUUCAUGUUUUAUUUCCCUUUGUUAUAAAAUUUUCAUAGUUUGCAAAAAUAAAAGUUAUGGGCUAUGUGUCCUUUAUUUGAUACUCCCUGUGAGAAAGGGUAAGAUAGAAGAUUCAGUAAUGGCCAGUGUUGGUGGAAGAGACUGCUGCUUGUAACCAGUAGAGAGGAACGGGGGGUGGGGAAGUUUACUUCAGCACUGUAUUGAUUAGAAUUAGAUUCUUCUUUAUAGGAGACAGAAAUAUCUUAUAUAAGUGGCAUAAAAAUAUGAAAGUAAAUGUGUCUUUUACAUAAAAGAAAUUCAGAGUUGCAGUCUAUGGCUGGUAUGGUUCCUCCAUGAGGUUUUCAGAUACUCAGUUUCCUUCUAGUUCAUUAAUCUGUCAUUCUUAGGUUAUAGCUUUUGUCUUUAUUGUCUUCAUGAUUCAAGAUGGCUGCUAGAGCUCCAGCCAUCAUUCCUUCCUUCCUUCUUUCCUUCCUUCAUUUCUUUCUUUCCUUCUUUCCUUCUUUCUCUCUUUCUCUCUCCUUCCUUCCUUCCUUCCCCCCUUCCUUCCUUCCUUCUUUCUUUCAUUCUUUUGUUCUUUCUUGCUCUCUCACCCAGACUGGAGUGCAGUGGCACAAUCACAGCUCACUACAGCCUCUAACUCCUGGGCUUAAGUGAUCCUCCUGCCUCAGCUUCUCGAGUAGCUGAGGCUACAGUUGCACAGUACUAUGCCUGGCUAAUUUUUAAAUUCUUUGUAGAGAGAGGGUCUUGCUUGGUUUCCUGGGCUGGUCUUGAAAUCCUGGCCUUGAUCUCCUGCCUUGGCCUCCCAAAGUUGCUAGGAUUACGGAUAUGAGCCACUGCACCUGGCUCAUGUGUGUGUGUGUGUGUGUGUGUGUUUUUACAGAGGAACUUCCUAGAAAUUCCACACAAUACUUCUGCUUAUGUUGUAUUGUCCAGAACCUAGUCAUAUGGCCACAUUUACCUGCCAGGUAGGCUGGGAAAUAUAUGUUGUGGAUGGCAAUAAGCUGAAAUAAAAAUUGAAGUUCUGUUAUUGAAAAGGGGAAAAAUGGAUUUUUUUUUCCAGGAAGAACUUUUUAUUAAUAUAAAGUUUUAAGAUAUUCACCAGUCAGAUCUAAACUUACUCAUUAAACUCUAUUUUUAAAAAAUGAACACACUGUACUGCAGUGAAAGGCAGGAACGUGGUUUUAGACACUGAUUGAAAACCAGUGUCUUCACGCACUGAGAACAGGAAACAUUCUGCACUGCGAACGAAGUGCACAGUCAACAGGAAGACACACACACACGACAGAAAGCCCCCAGUGUGAGUGACCGUGUACCUGGGCAGGUGACAGGAUGCCCAGGCCGUGGCUUGGACAUGGCUGCCACGCUGCGAUGCCUGCUGGGCCCCACAAGGACUGGGGACACACACAGAGCCCAGCUAUACACUGUGAUAGAGUCCACCCAUUUUGCUACCCUAUACCCAUGUGCACUGUUCUCCUACCUUCCUGCUACCUGGAUUGUGAUUGUAAGGCCUGGAUUCCAAGAUGUUAACUUGAUAAUAAAAGCCACACACAAUAGAACAGUAAGAUGCAAGGCACAUGCAUCCCUGGCACUGUGGAGCUGUGGACAGACUAGCUCUAGAUUUCCACGUGAGAGAGAAAUACCUCUCUAUUUUGAUUAAACCAUUUUGCUAGAGUUUUGAUGGUUGCAGCUGAGCCUAAUCUUAACAGAUACAAGCAUAAUAUAAACUUAUAAAAUAGUGUUCUUUUUAAGAUUGUGUCUUACUUUGCCUACCAAUGCAGGUGGACUGACCAUCUGCCUAUCCAGCCUGGCCUACCAUGUGAUACUAGGUAUACGAAGUUGGCUCAGAAGUUAAUUUCACUCACGGGAGCUUCUGUUCUAGGAAGAACAAACAAACCAAUGCAGUAAAGGGACUCCCAUUGCUUUAAUGGAAAUCUGUAUAAAAGAGAGUGGUGCCCAGAGAUAUUUGCUAUAUGCUCUACUGCCAUCUUAGACUAGGAAAAACCAAAACCAAAACAAUGCUGACCAUAGCAUAUUUUUUUCAUCAUUGACAUUAUCUUUAUAUUAAUCACUUGUAAUUAUUCCUUGAAUAUACAAAAUCUGACUAUUGGUUUUUGUUUAUAUUGAGAGAAUGAUGACAUCAGAUUAAACAUUAAUUUUCCCUUGAGAAUCUUUCAAUACAAUUGGAGUAGAAUUUUUUUUUUUUGAGACAGGGUCUUGCUGUGCCACCCAGGCUGGGGUGCAGUGGGGCAAUCAUGGCUCACUGCAGCCUCAACCUCCUGGGCUCAGGUGAUCCUCUUGCCUCAGCCUCCUAAGUAGCUGGUACCACACGCGUGCACCACCACACCUGACAAAUAUUGGAAAAUUAUUUAUAGAGAUGAGGUCUCCCUAUGUUGUUCAGACUGGUCUCAAACUCCUGAACUCAAGCGCUCCUCUUGCCUCGGACUCUUAAAGUGCUGAGAUUGCAGGUGUGAGCCACUGCACCCAGCCUGGAGCAGAAUAUUUUUACAUAAAACUAAAGAGAGGUUGGCGACUUAUAAUCGUGUUCAGGAGGUAGCAAAUGUUUUACUUAGGUGAGAAGAAAUAUACUUUUCGUGUUGUCAUAGAGUAAGCCCAAUCCUUAUUUACUUUUGUUACCAUUGGCAUGACAACAAUCAUUGGAGCAUCUUUGUCUUCCAAACAUUUCUUAUAUUAUUUACUUUUUCAUAGCAACUUAAAACGGAAGAUCAUAGAGUUUAGGUGACUUGCCCUAGGACACGCCCUUGGAAAAUAGUAGAGCCAGAAUUUGAAUUCAGUUCUGGGUCUCUUUUUUUUUUUUGAAUUCCAUUCAUGUGUUGAUAAUAGCUGCUAUGGAGACUUAGCCAGGAAAGCAGAUGUGGAUGGUUAGCGGAAGCUAAAGAGGAAAAAGGUUAAGCUUUUUUUUUGAAGUUUUCCUGCUCAGCUAGGAAAACAUUGCUGCAGUUAUCAGGUAAUUGAAGUGUCAACGUGACGCUGUCAGAAAGGUUGGAUGAAUUUGUUCCUGUUGGCCUAUAUUUGGCUGUUAAGUGAGUUGCACAAUUGCAGUUUUCAGGUUAAGAAACUCUCUGGCAGUCGUGGGAGUUCCUCUUUAGAAGCAACUCUGCUAACAUGCAAAAUCAAUGUCACUGAAGAUUUUGCUUAUGUUACUGCCUCCAACACUGUUUGAUCCUUACAUAAAAGAGACAUUUGUCAUUUGACAGGACUAAGACUGGGAAAGGUUGUGGAGGCUUCCCCCAGCUGUGGUGCACAAAUAUCUACACAUUCUGUCUGCUUAAGUUUCUUUGGAAUGUUUUCAUUGCAAAGGCUGGGUCACUGAGGGGGCCUGCCCUUGCCCUUUGACCUUGGUAAAUUACUGCCCCCAGUCCUGAUGAGUUUGCAGGACAAACUUCCAUCAUCUUCCCAACCUUGGCAAUGAGGGAGAAGGCUGGACCUCCCUGGCUUUGUUUUAAUCCAUUUUCACCUCCCUUUUCUUUUUCUUUCUCUUAAUUCUUGUUGUUCUUCCUUUGAGUGACUACCAGCCCCUAUGUAACUCUUUCUCUUUUUUUUCUACCCCUCUAUCUUGGCUGCCACUCAACUUCAAAGCUCACUUCAGCAGGAGAAAUGUGUGAGUUGUAUGGAAAUGCUGCCCUCUGGACUUUCAGUAUUUUAACCCCCGGACUUGAUUCAACUGCUUCCCAAAUGAUUGGAAAGAAAUAUCCCAAGCCCAGAACUGGAGAAACCCUUUUUUUUUCAGUGACCAAAUAGAUUUUGGUGUUGUGCCUAUGUACCUUUGAUCAAUUCAUAUUUCCAAUUUGGGGACAUGCUUUUUCUAAAGACAAGUGUCUUUCACUUAGAGGAACUUAGCUGAUGGAUGACUUGUACAGAUCCAAUUAGUCUUGUUUCAGAUUAUAGGCAUUCAGAAAGAGGUAUCUUUUAAUGGUUUUUUGGGACCGUGGGAAUUUUGUUACAAUAUCUGUCACAUCUUCCAGUAAAAAAGUGAUAGCAAUUUUUUUCUCUUUGGAGGUCUUUUUAAAAUGCCUUCUUUCCUCAUUGCUACAGAUAUGUUCUUGCAUAAAUCUUUGAAGCAAGCCAAUGUCUUCUAGAAUCUCAUUAAAUUUCAUGACUUUCCAUUCCUUGUGUUGAAAAUAUAUUCCAUUUUUUACAUAACAUUUUAAACAUUAUCCCUUAAAAAGGUAAAGGAUGUUCAUAGGGAAUCAGAAAGUUUGUAAAACACAAAUAAUAAAAAUUAAAAUAAUCCAUAAUGAUAAAAUUGUCACGUUUUAUCCUGUUUAUUUUGCUUAGAGAGUGAUAGAGCCUUUGUUGGGUG
Molecule: long non-coding RNA, 14006 nt
Filed under: Homo sapiens (human)
Lineage: Eukaryota; Metazoa; Chordata; Mammalia; Primates; Hominidae
Description: long non-coding RNA NONHSAT208794.1
Source: RNAcentral